GCAUUAAUGGGGUAGUGGUAACCUGGGUCGUUGCCAAUACUCCUUCUAUAUGUGAGCGGUUCUCGACCCGCCGGGGGUUCGAUUCCCCCUUAAUGCA
This 97-nucleotide transfer RNA is filed under the name Lentinula raphanica. RNAcentral describes it as "tRNA-Gly". It matches the Rfam family "tRNA". Rfam says of the family: Transfer RNA (tRNA) molecules are approximately 80 nucleotides in length. The record is from RNAcentral. Lineage: Eukaryota; Fungi; Basidiomycota; Agaricomycetes; Agaricales; Omphalotaceae.